UACGGAGGAUGCGAGCGUUAUCCGGAUUUAUUGGGUUUAAAGGGUGCGUAGGCGGGACCUUAAGUCAGCGGUAAAAUUGCGGUGCUCAACGCCGUAGAGCCGUUGAAACUGGGGUUCUUGAGUGAGCGAGAAGUAUGCGGAAUGCGUGGUGUAGCGGUGAAAUGCUUAGAGAUCAUACAGAACACCGAUUGCGAAGGCAGCAUACCGGCGCUCAACUGACGCUGAGGCACGAAAGCGUGGGGAUCGAACAGG
This 252-nucleotide ribosomal RNA is filed under the name uncultured Bacteroidales bacterium. Its description in RNAcentral is "partial 16S ribosomal RNA". It matches the Rfam family "Bacterial small subunit ribosomal RNA", at positions 524 to 776 of the family's 1533-position model. Lineage: Bacteria; Pseudomonadati; Bacteroidota; Bacteroidia; Bacteroidales. The record is from RNAcentral.